AGUGAACGCUGGCGGUAGGCCUAACACAUGCAAGUCGAACGGCAGCACAGUAAGAGCUUGCUCUUACGGGUGGCGAGUGGCGGACGGGUGAGGAAUACAUCGGCAUCUACUUUUUCGUGGGGGAUAACGUAGGGAAACUUACGCUAAUACCGCAUACGACCUACGGGUGAAAGCAUGGGAUCUUCGGACCUUGCGCGAUUGAAUGAGCCGAUGGCGGAUUAGCUAGUUGGCGGGGUAAAGGCCCACCAAGGCGACGAUCCGUAGCUGGUCUGAGAGGAUGAUCAGCCACACUGGAACUGAGACACGGUCCAGACUCCUACGGGAGGCAGCAGUGGGGAAUAUUGGACAAUGGGCGCAAGCCUGAUCCAGCCAUACCGCGUGGGUGAAGAAGGCCUUCGGGUUGUAAAGCCCUUUUGUUGGGAAAGAAAAGCAGCAGGUUAAUACCCCGCUGUUCUGACGGUACCCAAAGAAUAAGCACCGGCUAACUUCGUG
Molecule: ribosomal RNA, 492 nt
Filed under: uncultured bacterium
Lineage: Bacteria
Description: partial 16S ribosomal RNA
Rfam family: Bacterial small subunit ribosomal RNA
Source: RNAcentral